GCCCCCAUGGUGUAACCUGGAUAGCACAGAAGCUUGCGGAGCUUCUAGUCUGGGUUCAAAUCCCAGUGGGGGCA
The sequence is a transfer RNA, 74 nucleotides long. It matches the Rfam family "tRNA". Rfam says of the family: Transfer RNA (tRNA) molecules are approximately 80 nucleotides in length. Their secondary structure includes four short double-helical elements and three loops (D, anti-codon, and T loops). Further hydrogen bonds mediate the characteristic L-shaped molecular structure. tRNAs have two regions of fundamental functional importance: the anti-codon, which is responsible for specific mRNA codon recognition, and the 3' end, to which the tRNAs corresponding amino acid is attached (by aminoacyl-tRNA synthetases). tRNAs cope with the degeneracy of the genetic code in two manners: having more than one tRNA (with a specific anti-codon) for a particular amino acid; and 'wobble' base-pairing, i.e. permitting non-standard base-pairing at the 3rd anti-codon position.